Mus musculus (house mouse) is the source of this 2013-nucleotide RNA transcript. It is a transcript of the gene named PRAME like 52, pseudogene, with no coding region annotated. The transcript has 4 exons. NCBI's taxonomy places the organism in Eukaryota, Metazoa, Chordata, Mammalia, Rodentia, Muridae. The record is from RefSeq and is marked validated.
AGAGUUGUAGAACCUAAAACUUCAGCCUGUCCUUGGUUGAACUAGGAACACUGUCACCACAGAUUCUCCAAGAUCUGCCUAAUGUUUUGCAUUGGGUCUCUGCAUCUGUCUCCAUCAGCUGCUGUGUGAAGCCUCUCAUAUGACAUGAAUGCUAGGCUCCCGUCGGAGCCUUCUUACUGAAGACCUGAGAGGAUGAGUGGUCAGACCCCACCCACACGCACUCUGCUGACACAUGAAGCUUUGAUCAAGUCCUCUCUGGAGGAGUUGCCUACUGUGGUCUUCCCAGCACUAUUCAAAGAGGUCUUUGCUGGCAGACACACCAAUCUCCUAAAGGCAAUGGUGGCAGCCUGGCCUUUCCCCUGUCUCCCUGUGGGACCAUUGAUAAAGAAGCCUAACCUAGAAACCUUGCAAGCUCUGCUAGAUGGAGUAGACAUGAGACUGACAAGAGAGUUUCACCCCAGGUGCCUGAUGACUCCCUUCGAGACCUUCUCCAUCACCCAAUGCCUAAUUUCACAGAGAGACUUUGAUUUCUUUUCUUGCUCCCACAACCUCUUUAAAUUAAAACAUCUGGAAAUAAGAGGGAUGAUCUUAUAUGCUUUGGAUCUUAUGCCUCUGAGAGGUCUCCUACAAAAAGUAGCAGACACUCUUGAGUUUCUGGAUUUUCAGUGGUGUAGGAUGAAGGACUCCCAGAUCAAUGCCCUCCUACCUGCCCUCAGUCAAUGCACUCACCUCAACCAGAUCAACUUCUACAACAAUGACUUCUCCAUGUCCACCCUGAAGGAGCUUUUACAGCACACAGCCAACUGGAGCAAGAUGAAUGUGGAACAAUGCCCUGCCCCUCUGCAGUGCUAUAAUGAGUUGGGUCAUGUCUCUGUAGAAAGAUUUGUCCAACUUUGUCAGGAGCUCAUGUAUACUCUCAGAGCUAUAAGGCAGCCCAAGAGCAUCUCUUUUGCUACAGAUAGCUGUCACAAAUGUUGUAAGCCCUGUGUCUAUGACCAGGACCCUAUACUUUGUUCUUGUUUUCAGUAAACAUAGAUACAGGACUUCUGGAUAUGAAUAAAUGACAGGCUUGGAACACAUCUUUAAUCUGCAGUGCUCAGAAACUGUGAUUUCAGACACUUCCCAUAUGGUUGGAAAUAAAGAGAUUUACAGUGACUGGGACCCUGAAGGCUGAGCUUGACAUGGGGAACAUUUCGAUGGAAUCUGAUAACAGGGGGAUUGUGGUCAGAAAAACAGUUUGGCGUUUAUAUGUGGCUUCUGCCCAGACAGUGUAUAUAUAGAUGCUUUUUUUGUGUACUCAUAAACCUAGAUGAUCUCUCUCAUGGGUAUUUGACUGUUAACAACAUCACUAUCAGGGUCAGGGUCUAGAAGGUUGAAUGGGUCCAGGAUUGGUAAGACACUGUUUUUUUAUGAAGAAAGGUAAGUUUUAGGUGAUAAAUGGCAUGUAUAAAAUGAAAGUAUUCGUGACACCUUGUCUCUUGCCUGGGCUACAUGUGUAACACUUUUGUGUGGCUGAUCAGUUAUGUGCACAAAACAUUUAAACUAAAGUGAGCAACAUAGACAAAUUCUUUGAAGGAGGAAGAUAAAUGUCACAAAUGGUUACUAUCCAGUACAUUCAGACCACAAAGCACCUUGGACCCAUCAAAGAUGCCUAAAGUUAAGAAGACAACAUAGAGCAAAGCAAACAGGCUUUCCAUUCUAGCUUUAAACUCUUGAUAUUUUUGUCAUGCCUUAAUGAGAUUACUAACAGGAACCUCUAUAUGAAGUCUUCAUGCCACGUGUCUCUAGGGCCCUAUUCCUAUGGAGUCCCAAAAUCUAUGAAGUACCUAUAGUAUAUGUAAAGUUGUCCAAUAAUAUGCAGGUAACUUAUCUACAUAAAGUCUUUACUUUUAAAAAAUGUAUUUUAAGGCUUUAGUUGUAAUAAAAACAAAAGAAAAGAAUCUCCCUCUGCCUAGUCAUUAUACCCCUUUCUGUAUAGCAAACUAUCAAUAAAAUAAUUUAUUGUUACUCUGU